This 720-nucleotide ribosomal RNA is filed under the name Staphylococcus pseudintermedius. Its description in RNAcentral is "bacterial SSU rRNA". It matches the Rfam family "Bacterial small subunit ribosomal RNA", at positions 1 to 688 of the family's 1533-position model. The record is from RNAcentral. Lineage: Bacteria; Bacillati; Bacillota; Bacilli; Caryophanales; Staphylococcaceae.
GUUAUUAGGGAAGAACAUAUGUGGAGUUUGAUCCUGGCUCAGGAUGAACGCUGGCGGCGUGCCUAAUACAUGCAAGUCGAGCGAACAGAUAAGGAGCUUGCUCCUUUGACGUUAGCGGCGGACGGGUGAGUAACACGUGGGUAACCUACCUAUAAGACUGGAAUAACUGCGGGAAACCGGGGCUAAUGCCGGAUAACAUGUUGAACCGCAUGGUUCUACAGUGAAAGACGGUCUUGCUGUCACUUAUAGAUGGACCCGCGCCGUAUAAGCUAGUUGGUGGGGUAACGGCCUACCAUGGCGACGAUACGUAGCCGACCUGAGAGGGUGAUCGGCCACACUGGAACUGAGACACGGUCCAGACUCCUACGGGAGGCAGCAGUAGGGAAUCUUCCGCAAUGGGCGAAAGCCUGACGGAGCAACGCCGCGUGAGUGAUGAAGGUCUUCGGAUCGUAAAGCUCUGUUGUUAGGGAAGAACAAUUGUGUAAGUAACUGUGCACAUCUUGACGGUACCUAACCAGAAAGCCACGGCUAACUACGUGCCAGCAGCCGCGGUAAUACGUAGGUGGCAAGCGUUAUCCGGAAUUAUUGGGCCUAAAGCGCGCGUAGGCGGAUUUUUAAGUCUGAUGUGAAAGCCCACGGCUCAACCGUGGAGGGUCAUUGGAAACUGGAAAACUUGAGUGCAGAAGAGGAAAGUGGAAUUCCAUGUGUAGCGGUGAAAUG